Long non-coding RNA from Delphinapterus leucas (beluga whale), 1197 nucleotides. NCBI's taxonomy places the organism in Eukaryota, Metazoa, Chordata, Mammalia, Artiodactyla, Monodontidae. The record is from Ensembl.
UCCUGGCGUUUAGGUGGAGCUGUACGGAGCUGCGAAGGGCAGCGGGGGCCGCGGGCCUGGGGCGUGUGGCAGGAGAGGGGGUGCUGCCCACUUGAGAACGCUGAGGGGAUCGUGGCUCCCACGCCUGUCGGGCUGCGGAGACCGAGCUCGUGGUCGCGUGUCUGUAGCAGGAGGGUCGGUCCACACCUCCUCCGGACAGCCUCCGCCGCUAGCUCGGUGCGCGUCGUGGGAGGGCCGUUACACACUUCCUGUGGGUCUCCCGGACCACAGCGCGUUUCCGGUGCCGGCUGGAGGCCGGGGUCCGAGCCCCCGCCCCGCUCGCCGGCCCCGCCCCCGCCCGCGCCCCGCGCCCCGCCCCCCGCCUGCCCGCCGCGUUCGGAGUCGGGCGCGCGGAGCCCGGGGCGCACGGAGUGGCGCGUGCCGGUCGGCGGAGCCAGGCUGGCGCCCCCGCCCCCAGCCCCUCGGUCCGUCGCCCGUCCGGCGCCUUCCCGUUCUACUUGUCUUCGCUCACCGGCCCUGUGGCCGCGCUCCCUCUCUUCCCUCCGUCCCGCCCCCUCCAGCCCCUGCUGCCCGGCUCCUACAGGCCCCCUCGCUGCCCGCGUUCCUAUGGACAGACGCACAGACACCUGCAGGUGGGUGAGAGCCCGCGCGCGGGGCGGGGACGAGCGCGCCGACGCUGCGCCCGGGGCCGGGAGCCCCUUUGUGUGGGGGGCGGUCGCACUGGCGUCCGCGCCGCCUCCCCCCCCUCGGCGGCCUAGCAGUGACCCGGCUGAACCCUCCUUUUGUUCCUCUGGGCUUGGGGGGGGUGGCGCGAGAAGGCCGAGAGUCGGGGCUGAGAGCCGGGCGGCCGGACGUCGCCGGCGACGGCCUCGGGGGCGUGAGGGGGUAGAAACCCCCGGCGGCCGAGCGAGCGGCGGCCGCGGCUCUGGGUUGUCUCUCUGGGGCCGGCCCGCCGCCCAGCAUCCCCUGUCGCCGCCGCGGCCGCGGGCGCGCUGCGUGGGUCUGGCUCGCCCGCUCCCUCUCUGGGGUUUGUUGGAGGUGGGAAGGAGGGCGGGAAAGGGGAAAGAAAAGAUCUGCUCUCUUAGUUUUCAAGUCUUGAGGAGGUUAUGGAGAGAGAGGGAGAGAGGUGUUUCGGGGCUUUGCCAGACUUGUUUCCCUCCCGCGAGGCACGCCAAGGUGCGUUUGGGGCGUGUGUGA